RNAcentral lists this non-coding RNA (29 nucleotides) under Callithrix jacchus (white-tufted-ear marmoset). Lineage: Eukaryota; Metazoa; Chordata; Mammalia; Primates; Cebidae. The record is from RNAcentral. RNAcentral also lists the same sequence under 1 other name.
UCAGUCACAAGUCUGCCUGGAUUAGGACC